This 494-nucleotide ribosomal RNA is filed under the name uncultured bacterium. Its description in RNAcentral is "partial 16S ribosomal RNA". It matches the Rfam family "Bacterial small subunit ribosomal RNA", at positions 28 to 507 of the family's 1533-position model. The record is from RNAcentral.
GACGAACGCUGGCGGCGUGCUUAACACAUGCAAGUCGAACGGUGAAGCGCCUUCCUUUUUGGUGGGUGUGGAUGAGUGGCGAACGGGUGAGUAACACGUGAGUAACCUGCCCCCUUCUUCUGGAUAACCGCAUGAAAGUGUGGCUAAUACGGGAUAUUCUGGGUCUGUCGCAUGAUGGGUCUGGGAAAGAUAUUGUUUCGGUGGGGGAUGGGCUCGAGGCCUAUCAGCUUGUUGGUGGGGUGAUGGCCUACCAAGGCGGUGACGGGUAGCCGGCCUGAGAGGGUGGACGGUCACACUGGGACUGAGACACGGCCCAGACUCCUACGGGAGGCAGCAGUGGGGAAUAUUGCACAAUGGGCGCAAGCCUGAUGCAGCGACGCCGCGUGAGGGAUGGAGGCCUUCGGGUUGUGAACCUCUUUCGCCAGUGAAGCAGGCCUGCCUCGUUUGUGGGUGGGUUGACGGUAGCUGGAUAAGAAGCGCCGGCUAACUACGUG